This 90-nucleotide transfer RNA is filed under the name Streptomyces mirabilis. RNAcentral's name for it is "tRNA-Asp". Lineage: Bacteria; Bacillati; Actinomycetota; Actinomycetes; Kitasatosporales; Streptomycetaceae. The record is from RNAcentral.
CCGGACGGAGCCGUUGAGGAACGCGGCGGCCACCUGUCGGGCGGUCGGUUCUUGCAGGGCCCGGGCCCCGUACGAGGCGGGGCCUUCGGU